CCUACGGGUGGCAGCAGUGAGGAAUAUUGGUCAAUGGACGAGAGUCUGAACCAGCCAAGUAGCGUGAAGGAUGACUGCCCUAUGGGUUGUCAACUUCUUUUAUAUGGGAAUAAAAUGUUCCACGUGUGGGAUUUUGUAUGUACCAUAUGAAUAAGGAUCGGCUAACUCCGUGCCAGCAGCCGCGGUAAUACGGAGGAUCCGAGAGUUAUCCGGAUUUAUUGGGUUUAAAGGGAGCGUAGGUGGAUUGUUAAGUCAGUUGUGAAAGUUUGCGGCUUAACCGUAAAAUUGCAGUUGAAACUGGCAGUCUUGAGUACAGUAGAGGUGGGCGGAAUACGUGGUGUAGCGGUGAAAUGCUGAGAGAACACGAAGAACUCCGAUGGCGAAGGCAGCACACUGGACUGCAACUGACACUGAGGCUCGAAAGUGUGGGGAUCAAACAGGAGUAGAGACCCUUGUAGUC
RNAcentral lists this ribosomal RNA (460 nucleotides) under uncultured bacterium. RNAcentral describes it as "partial 16S ribosomal RNA". It matches the Rfam family "Bacterial small subunit ribosomal RNA", at positions 338 to 795 of the family's 1533-position model. The record is from RNAcentral.